Molecule: long non-coding RNA, 1134 nt
Filed under: Sus scrofa (pig)
Lineage: Eukaryota; Metazoa; Chordata; Mammalia; Artiodactyla; Suidae
Description: lncRNA (ENSSSCG00005034337.1)
Source: RNAcentral
ACUUUCAGCACCUUCUCUUUCACAUCUGCACACUUUAGCUCCUGUGCCCCUCUCCAUUCAAGACCUCCUGCCCCAUCUCCUGAACCCUUGCCCCAGUUGUAAGCCCUGCAAGUCACCUCCCCUCUCAAGCCUUCUUGGCUGUCCCAGACAAUUUGUGCGCAGCCUCCUCCCUGCUCCCUUCCCUGCAUUCUUUGCAUUGCCCACUGGGGUCACUGGCCCACAGCUAUCUCUCUGCAGGACUCUCAUUCCUGGGCCAGUGCCUGGCUCACCCCUGUUUGUGAAGAGAGUGUCUGCGACUGGUGGCUGCAGGAGUCUGCAGAAGCUCCUUGGUUGUUUGGCAGGACAGAUGUUGGAAGGUUAAGGCUGGAGGACGGCUGGAGGGCAGGCAGGGGAGGCAAAGAGACACAUUGAUGGCUCACCUUCUGCUAACUCCUCUGGGCAGCUCAAAGCUUCACACUUUGUGACCUGGCUGCUAAUCAGGAAACUGAGGUUCAGUGAAUUGCUGAAGGCUACUCAGCUCUGAGUGUCUGAGCCAGUACUUGAAUGGCAUUCCAGGAAAGGAAUGGGCUGUUUUUCAAAGCGCAUCAUCAGUUGCUGGACCCAGGAUUCUGACUCUCAGGGGGGUACAGCGCAUGCUGUGUAGAAAGCUGAUUACAAAAAAUCCUCUCCCGCGUUGGGCUGGGCUCCAGAGACGUGGUUAGAAUUUCUCCAUACCCGGCGCAAGGCAUGAUCGUGCCGAUUUCUCUUUUCCCGGUCUCUCCAUGCAUUUUUGGUCUUGGCAUUUGCAUUUUCCUGAUGUUAAGCCCAAGGAGGCACACAGCAGGGGCUCAGAAAUGGCAGCUGAUGGAGGGAUGGACGCGCUGGAGGCAGAGGUCAGAAAUAUGCUGAGGACUUUUUAUUGGGCCAUCCGAAUCCACUCUUCACCCUUCCCCAUCCUAGUCUACUGAUCGUUGUCGCGGAGUUCCCUUGACCUCUCGCUCCUGUUGGGAUCAGAGGAUGGCCAGGGUCUGGGGUCAGGGGCGUCCUGAUCCCCCUGUCAAGGUCGCUGCAGGCUGGGCACCUCCCUUUAUUGCAGUCGUCAGCUCUUCCGCACUGCUCUCCCCACUUCCUCUUCCAAGUCCAGGUCGGUCACGG